GGCUUACACAUGCAAGUCGAGCGGUAACAUUUCUAGCUUGCUAGAAGAUGACGAGCGGCGGACGGGUGAGUAACGCGUAGGAAUCUGCCUAGUAGUGGGGGACAACAUGUGGAAACGCGUGCUAAUACCGCAUACGCCCUACGGGGGAAAGGAGGGGAUCUUCGGACCUUUCGCUAUUAGAUGAGCCUGCGUGAGAUUAGCUAGUUGGUGGGGUAAAGGCCUACCAAGGCGACGAUCUCUAGCUGGUCUGAGAGGAUGAUCAGCCACACUGGGACUGAGACACGGCCCAGACUCCUACGGGAGGCAGCAGUGGGGAAUAUUGGACAAUGGGCGCAAGCCUGAUCCAGCCAUGCCGCGUGUGUGAAGAAGGCCUUAGUGUUGUAAAGCACUUUCAGGAGUGAGGAAGGGUGUACGGUUAAUACCCGUAUAUUUUGACGUUAACUCCAGAAGAAGCACCGGCUAACUCUGUGCCAGCAGCCGCGGUAAUACAGAGGGUGCGAGCGUUAAUCGGAAUUACUGCGCGUAAAGCGC
This 531-nucleotide ribosomal RNA is filed under the name uncultured bacterium. RNAcentral describes it as "bacterial SSU rRNA". It matches the Rfam family "Bacterial small subunit ribosomal RNA", at positions 45 to 568 of the family's 1533-position model. The record is from RNAcentral.